RNAcentral lists this long non-coding RNA (1010 nucleotides) under Numida meleagris (helmeted guineafowl). RNAcentral's name for it is "lncRNA (ENSNMEG00000003821.1)". Lineage: Eukaryota; Metazoa; Chordata; Aves; Galliformes; Numididae. The record is from RNAcentral.
GCGUGUGCCAGCAGCAGGAGGUCGGCGUUGUCGAAGAGGGCGGCGUGGGGACCCUCGGCCAGCGCCAGGUACGCGCCCCCCAGCGCCGCCCCCAGCAGCAGCUUCCCCGCGCUGCUCAGCUGCAGGAAGGCGGCGGCGGCCAGCAGGCUGAGCACCACGCUGAGCGUCACGUACUGCGGGCACGGGGGGGGGAAAGGGGGGGGACACGGCGCCGUGAGGACCCACACCGAUGGGGACCCCACGGCAGCGCCCUAUGGGCCUGGGGACAUCGCCCCUGCGGGGACCCCGUGGCAGCACCCAGAGGAAGCCAGCCCCCUGGGGACCCCAUGGCAGCACCCAUGGGAACCUGACCUCCCUGGGGACCCCAUGGCAGCGCCCUAUGGGCCUGGGGACAUUGCACCUUUCAGGACCCCAUGGCAGCACCCAUAGGAACCUCAUCUCCCUUGGGACCCCAUGGCAGUGCCCUAUGGGCCUGGGGACAUCGCCUCUGCAGGCAUCCCAUGGCAGCACCUAUAGGAACCCAGCCCCUUUGGGGACCCCAUGGCAGCACCCAUAGGAACCUGACCUCCCUGGGGACCCCACGGCAGCGCCCUAUGGGCCUGGUGACAUUGCACCUUUCAGGACCUUAUGGCAGCCCCUAUGGGAACUCAGCCCCUUUGGGGACCCCAUGGCAGCACCCAUAGGAACCUCAUCUCCCUGGGGACCCCAUGGCAGCGCCCUAUGGGAACCCAGCCCCUUUGGGGACCCCAUGGCAGCACCUCUAGAGACACUGCACCCACUGGGACCCCAUGGCAGCACCCUAUGGGAACCCAGCCUCUUUGGGGACCCCAUGGCAGCACCUAUAGGAACCUGACCUCCCUGGGGACCCCAUGGCAGCGCCCUAUGGGAACCCAGCCCCCCAGGGACCCCAUGGCAGCACCCAUGGGAACCUCAUCUCCCUGGGGACCCCACGGCAGCGCCCUAUGGCCCUGGGGACGCUGCACCUUUCAGGACCCUACAGCAUCCCCUUU